CCUGGGCAAAAAUGUGAGUCGCUUUGGUUAAAAGCGUCUGCUAAAUGACAUGUA
Molecule: regulatory RNA element, 54 nt
Organism: Gasterosteus aculeatus (three-spined stickleback)
Lineage: Eukaryota; Metazoa; Chordata; Actinopteri; Perciformes; Gasterosteidae
Rfam family: UnaL2 LINE 3' element
About the family: The eel long interspersed element (LINE) UnaL2 and its partner short interspersed element (SINE) share a conserved 3' tail containing a stem-loop that is critical for their retrotransposition. Presumably, the first step of retrotransposition is the recognition of their 3' tails by UnaL2-encoded reverse transcriptase.
Source: Rfam